GGAAAAUAGAUGCUUCUACAAAGUACAAGCCGUCACCGCAAAAUUGAACAUUAUGUUGGGUUCCGUUGAACUAUGAAAUCAAGGAUACGCUAUCCAAAACCUGUGUUAUAGAUUCUAUCCGAAUUUACCAUUUUUGCCAUGACUUCUCUGCUACAAAUCUCCAUCUUAAACACUCUUCACGAUGACGUAUGCAAGAAAUUCAUUUAUACUCACUCUCUACCAAGUUCAAAGAUUACUUCUUUUAAUCGAAACAGAUCUAAAUUGAGGGCGAACAGAGAGAAAUGGAGUUUAUUGGAAAUGGGGAGGGGGAAAGAUGGGAUUUUGGUAAAAGAUAAGGGGUGGAAAAGGAAGAGGAGGGUGGUUUUGGUGAGUUUUAAUCAGGGCUUUGGGUUUAAUGGGGGUGGCGGCGGCGGCGGCGGUGGUGGAAGAGAUAACAGUAGCACUAUUAGACUUCUGGGUAAUGUUGCUUUGGCAAUUGGCUUGACUUACCUUUCAAUGACUGGGCAGCUUGGUUGGAUUUUUGAUGCUAUUGGCUGGGUUUUAGACGUGGUUAUUUCUAUUUGGCUCCUGGCAGUACUAAUACCUAUUGUUGGUUUGGGAGCUUUCCUCUGGUGGGCAGGACGGGAUAUACUUCAAGGCACUGUGGGGCUUCUUUAACCUUUUCUAGUCACAUUUAUUUCUUUCUUAUUAAAUAUUUUUGUGUGGAAUCUUUCUGGCUUUGUGUAUGUGUAUGUGUGCAUAUGCAACUACUUGUUUAGUGGAAUGCAGGUGUCCUCAGGAAGGUAGGGCUUUCUUAAAUAGCUCUUCUGCUUCUGCUUUCAUAAUUGAUUGUUUUAUGCUUUCUGGUUUUCAUGCAGUGCCCAAAUUGUGGAAAUGAUUUUCAGAUUUUCAAAUCCACUCUGAAUGAUGAAUUGCAGUUGUGCCCCUUUUGCAGUCAACCGUUCUCAGGUGAAAGCCAUGUCUGCAUCACCUUAUACUCUUUUUCAUUCUUUUGGCAUUUUAUCUUUGUAUUCCUAGUCUAUUGGUCUAUGAGUACAGUCAUCUUACUGGCAGCAAACUGAAUCUUCUAUAUCUUCAAAUAUCUACUUCAUUGACUGGUAAAAAUAUACAUCUGUCCAUGACAUCUUUGCCAUUCUUUGUGUUUUAUGAUAUUUCCUUGGAUAUCAGUAGUGGAAGAUGAGUUCGUGAGGGAUUCUGUAAAAUUCUCCAACAGUUCAACAACAUUUGGACAGGCAUUUGGUGACUUCUCUGCUGCUUCCAAGAAAGGUUCACCCUGCAAUAUCUUUUACUUUUUCCUUCAUUAAUGAUAUGCGAUAUGAAUUGAAUUAAUUACUUCUUAGUUUGCAUGUGAUGAUUAUAAAGAUAAUAUUAAAUCUCAUUUGUUAAUCACCAUCUUUAAGCUCCAAGGUACAUUUCCCCUACUUGGCUUCUCUACAUCUUCUUAUUGAAUUUUGUUAUCACAACUGGAUUCCCUUUCUUGGUCAGGGGAGGUCCACUUCAAUAUACUUGUACACAUAGCUGACAUUGCUGCUAAGAUAUCUAAUCUUCUCUAUUCUAUAGUUUGUCAACGUCUGAAUGAUUCAUGAAUUUUGGAACAUCACUGUGGCUUCUGCAGGAAAGGAUUCUUCUUCAGUUGUUGACAUUGAAGCAGAAAUAAAAGAUGCAGACUGAGGCCUUAAAUAAAUGAUGCAGAAUAGGGCCUCAGACAGAAUACUAUGGUGAUGGUGGAGGACCUUUGCAUGAUCAACUGGAACAACCCUGAGUGCACAGCCUUGAUAAUGCAGGAGUAAUAACUACCCAAAUUAAAAUGCUGUAUUCUAAAAUUUUUGCAAUGUUACAUUUUCUACCGGAGCUCAGUAGACUAGCCUGUAUAUUUUGCUCCCAUAUCUUGUUAAUUUUCUUGCUACUCUGAGCUGUGAUGUUCUGAGCUUUUAGGACAAAAACUAGAAAUUGUUUACAGUUGUAAAAACUUGUGAAUUGCUGUCUGUAGACAUUUUGAGUUUACAUUUUCAUCCAGAAUUGAAUAUUGUGAGUAAAAGAUUAGUUACCCUUGGUUAUCUGCUCGUGUAAAUGCUUGGCGAAGGCACAGUUAAAAUGAAAAAUAAGGUCAAAUUUAUCCAGUUAAUUCCAGCCCAAAUAUCUACUACCUGGUAAUGCUUAACACUUUGCCGGUCCGAGAUAACUUGAUCAAAAGAGUGUCUGUAG
This 2205-nucleotide unclassified non-coding RNA is filed under the name Hevea brasiliensis (rubber tree). The record is from RNAcentral. Lineage: Eukaryota; Viridiplantae; Streptophyta; Magnoliopsida; Malpighiales; Euphorbiaceae.